Molecule: ribosomal RNA, 264 nt
Filed under: uncultured bacterium
Lineage: Bacteria
Description: partial 16S ribosomal RNA
Rfam family: Bacterial small subunit ribosomal RNA
Source: RNAcentral
GUCCACGCCCUAAACGAUGCAUAUUUGGUGUGGGCAGUUCAUUCUGUCCGUGCAGGAGCUAACGCGUUAAAUAUGCCGCCUGGGGAGUACAGUCGCAAGGCUGAAACUCAAAGGAAUUGACGGGGGCCCGCACAAGCGGUGGAGCAUGUGGUUCAAUUAGACGCAACGCGAAGAACCUUACCUGGGCUCGAACGGCUGGUCAACGGCGUUGGAAACAGCGCUACCCCGCAAGGGGGUCCAGUCGAGGUGCUGCAUGGCUGUCGU